CCUACGGGAGGCUGCAGUGGGGAAUAUUGGGCAAUGGAGGCAACUCUUACCCAGCAAUGCCGCGUGAAUGAAGAAGGUCUUCGGAUUGUAAAGUUCUUUAAUUGGGGACGAAAAAAAUGACGGUACCCAAGGAAUAAGCCUCGGCUAACUACGUGCAAGCAGCAGCGGUAAUACGGAGGGCGCAAUCGUAGUUCGGAAUGACUGGGCGUAAAGGGUGUGUAGGCGGGGUAGCAAGUUAGAAGUGAAAUACCUAGAGCUUAACACAGGUGCUGCUUCUAAAACUGCUAUACUUGAGUGCAGUAGAGGAAAGUGGAAUUCGUGGUGUAGCGGUGGAAUGCGUAGAUAUUAGGAGGAACAUCAGUGGCGAAGGCGACUUUCUGGACUGUAACUGACGCUGAGGCACGAAAGUGUGGGGAGCAAACAGGAUUAGAUACCCGGGUAGUC
This 444-nucleotide ribosomal RNA is filed under the name uncultured bacterium. RNAcentral describes it as "partial 16S ribosomal RNA". It matches the Rfam family "Bacterial small subunit ribosomal RNA", at positions 338 to 795 of the family's 1533-position model. The record is from RNAcentral.